CUGCCCUAGAGCCCAGGCCUCGGCCCUCUGGGCAGGCUGCAGCUCCUCGGGGCUGGGUGUUCCCCAGCAGGGAGGCAGGGCUCCGGCCACAUGUGUCCUGCUCGCUCCGAGGUCUGUCCUGGGCCCUCACAUCAUCUAGCUUUUCUUCCCGGCUCCACCCCCGGGAGAUAUGUGUGGGGUCACUUCCAAGCCCACCAGUUUUUUUUUUUUUCCAAUUUUAUCUUUUUUUAACACCAAGAAGCAUUUUGUAUUGGGAUGUAGCCACUUAACACUGUUGUGAUAAUUUCAGGUGGACGGUGAAGGGACUCAUGUAUCCAUCCUUCCCCAAACCCCGCUUCUGAUCAGGCUGGCACACAACGUGAGCGGAGCUCUCUGUGCUGCCCAGUAGGUCUUUGUUGGUUAUCCAUUUUAGAGAUAGCGGUGUGCACGUGACCUUCCCAAAGUCCUUAACUAGCCCUUCUCCCCCACGCCCACUGGUUCUUGAAGGCUGUCACCUGUGCCUGCUGGGUCUGUAUGAGAACACUCAGGUCCUGCGGCUUUGAUAACUUUCGAAGUCCUUCCCUGAGGCUGCUCAGCUGGCUCAGGAGCAGACAGAGACGCAGAACACGGUGGAGCCGUCCUCACCCCCAGGCCUUCUCACCGAAACCUCAGAACGACACCCAGGAGACCCUCCUCUUGUCCCAGCAGGGGGACUGAGGCCUCCCCAGUCUCCAGCCUGGGAGCCACUCACCACCCACAGGGCCCACUUAUGUCUGAAUUGAUUAAAAUCAGGUGAAAAAUUCAGUCACACAGACCGAGGUACUGAGCCCUUUACCGCGGAAAGUUUCAGGGGGCGGCUGCUUGUGGUUCAGAAAGUUGGUCACAGGCAGGAGUCUAGAGCUACUCAGGAGGGGAGCCACCUCGGGCCCUGCCCCAGGCCCUGUUACUGCAGAGGGGCCACCUGGGGGCUGCUGGGCUGACCAUGAGCAUUCUCACCCACCUCUCGACCAGCAAGCGGCUUUGUCCCGGAGGCCCGCGUCGUCGGGAGCAGAGCCAUUCCCCCACAGUGGCCCUGGCAGGUCAGCCUGAGAGAGCAGGGCCGCCACGUCUGCGGGGGCAGCCUCAUCAGCCUCCGGUGGCUGCUGCCCGCCGCCCACUGCGUCUGCAGGGGACCCCGUCCUGACCCGUCUCAGGUCAAUGUCUUACCUGCCAGAGGGCUCAGCUCAGCUGUCCUCA
Molecule: long non-coding RNA, 1215 nt
Filed under: Capra hircus (goat)
Lineage: Eukaryota; Metazoa; Chordata; Mammalia; Artiodactyla; Bovidae
Description: lncRNA (ENSCHIG00010015875.1)
Source: RNAcentral